This 448-nucleotide ribosomal RNA is filed under the name uncultured bacterium. RNAcentral describes it as "bacterial SSU rRNA". It matches the Rfam family "Bacterial small subunit ribosomal RNA", at positions 29 to 522 of the family's 1533-position model. The record is from RNAcentral.
AACGAACGCUGGCGGCAUGCCUAACACAUGCAAGUCGAACGAGACCUUCGGGUCUAGUGGCGCACGGGUGCGUAACGCGUGGGAAUCUGCCCUUGGGUUCGGAAUAACAGCGAGAAAUUGCUGCUAAUACCGGAUGAUGACGUAAGUCCAAAGAUUUAUCGCCCAAGGAUGAGCCCGCGUAGGAUUAGCUAGUUGGUGAGGUAAAGGCUCACCAAGGCGACGAUCCUUAGCUGGUCUGAGAGGAUGAUCAGCCACACUGGGACUGAGACACGGCCCAGACUCCUACGGGAGGCAGCAGUGGGGAAUAUUGGACAAUGGGCGAAAGCCUGAUCCAGCAAUGCCGCGUGAGUGAUGAAGGCCUUAGGGUUGUAAAGCUCUUUUACCCGGGAUGAUAAUGACAGUACCGGGAGAAUAAGCUCCGGCUAACUCCGUGCCAGCAGCCGCGUAA